RNAcentral lists this transfer RNA (78 nucleotides) under Candidatus Heimdallarchaeota archaeon. RNAcentral's name for it is "tRNA-Tyr". It matches the Rfam family "tRNA". From Rfam's summary of the family: Transfer RNA (tRNA) molecules are approximately 80 nucleotides in length. Their secondary structure includes four short double-helical elements and three loops (D, anti-codon, and T loops). The record is from RNAcentral. Lineage: Archaea; Promethearchaeati; Candidatus Heimdallarchaeota.
CCGGCCUUAGCACAGCCUGGCCAGUGCGCUUGGCUGUAGACCAAGAGAUCCGGAGUUCGAAUCUCCGAGGCCGGACCA